UACGGGGGGGGCAAGCGUUGUUCGGAAUUACUGGGCGUAAAGGGCGUGUAGGCGGCCAACUAAGUCCGACGUGAAAUCCCCAGGCUUAACCUGGGAACUGCGUCGGAUACUGGAUGGCUUGAAUCCGGGAGAGGGAUGCAGAAUUCCAGGUGUAGCGGUGAAAUGCGUAGAUAUCAGGAGGAACACCGGUGGCGAAGGCGGGUCUCUGGGCCGAUAUUGACGCUGAGGAGCGAAAGCGUGGGGAGCGAACAGG
This 253-nucleotide ribosomal RNA is filed under the name uncultured bacterium. Its description in RNAcentral is "partial 16S ribosomal RNA". It matches the Rfam family "Bacterial small subunit ribosomal RNA", at positions 524 to 776 of the family's 1533-position model. The record is from RNAcentral.